UAGCAUAAUAAUUUGUUUUUUAAUUGAAAACUGGUAUGAAUGGUUUAACAAGGAAAUAUUUUUUAUAUUUUUAUUUAAAUAAUUUAUACUUUAAGUAAAAAUUCUUAAAUAAAAAUGAGGGACGAUAAGACCCUAAAAGCUUUAUAUUUAUUUUUUAAAAAUAAGUAAUUUUAUUAAAUUUUAAAAUUAAAAUAUAAUUAACUGGGGUAGUUAUUUUAGUUAAAUUAAUAUGAAUUUAAACAAAUUAAUGGUAAUUGUUCCUUUAUAUAAGGGAAUAUAUAGAUAGUUACUUUAGGGAUAACAGCAUAAUAUUUUUGGAGAGAUCUUAUUGAUAGAAAUGAUUGUGACCUCGAUGUUGAAUUAAAAAAACUUUAUAAAGCAGCAUAUAUAUAUAGUAGGUUUGUUCAACCUUUAAAAUUUUACAUGAUUU
This 430-nucleotide ribosomal RNA is filed under the name Paralicella tenuipes. RNAcentral describes it as "partial 16S ribosomal RNA". Lineage: Eukaryota; Metazoa; Arthropoda; Malacostraca; Amphipoda; Lysianassidae. The record is from RNAcentral.